Molecule: transfer RNA, 76 nt
Filed under: Candidatus Saccharimonadota bacterium
Lineage: Bacteria; Candidatus Saccharimonadota
Also listed under: 1 other name
Description: tRNA-Lys
Rfam family: tRNA
About the family: Transfer RNA (tRNA) molecules are approximately 80 nucleotides in length. Their secondary structure includes four short double-helical elements and three loops (D, anti-codon, and T loops).
Source: RNAcentral
GGGCCCGUAGCUCAGUUGGUAGAGCAGCGGACUUUUAAUCCGUCGGUCGGAGGUUCGAAUCCUCCCGGGCUCACCA